AAAUAAGAAGUGAAAAUUUCGCAUUUAGUUUCGACCUAAAAAUUUGAUAUAAUAUUAUCCUUAUUUU
Molecule: transfer RNA, 67 nt
Filed under: Pimelocerus perforatus
Lineage: Eukaryota; Metazoa; Arthropoda; Insecta; Coleoptera; Curculionidae
Description: tRNA-Arg
Source: RNAcentral